This 1246-nucleotide long non-coding RNA is filed under the name Capra hircus (goat). RNAcentral's name for it is "lncRNA (ENSCHIG00010013963.1)". The record is from RNAcentral. Lineage: Eukaryota; Metazoa; Chordata; Mammalia; Artiodactyla; Bovidae.
AGUAAUGUCUCUGCUUUUGAAUAUGCUACCUAGGUUGAUCAUAACUUUUCGAAGCAAUAGUGGAGGACAAUUUUGUAAAUUAAAAAAAAACAAAACUUUUGUGUUUUCAGCAUCCCAUUUGCCCAAAGGUAUAAAAAGUGAAUUAGGAAGAGGUGAUGGACCAGGGAUUGAACCAGCACCCCCAGAACUGGAAGCUCAGAGGCUAAACUACUGAACCAUCAUGGAAUCCCAAGGGAACAGAAAAGUCUUGAGAGAUUUUCCCAAGUGUCAUUCAGUGACAAAAGAAGAACUUUAACCAUCAUUCAAAUUUAAAAGAUAGUGGAGGACAAUUUUGUAAAUUAAAAAAAAAAAAAACUUUUGUGUUUUCAGCAUACCAUUUACCCAAAGGUAUAAAAGUGAGUCAAGAUGAGGUGAUGGAGGUUUCAAGGACAGUAUUUUUAAAGCUGUUUGGCAGAGACAGAGAGGCAUUGUGGUUUGAUGAGAUGAUCAACAGCUCCUUUAGGAUAGGGGAAAUUGAAGCAUGGUCAUGAGUUGAGAAGAAAGAGAUUCUAAAACCGAGGUAAAACAACAAAUGUUCAGGAACAGCAGGAAGGGAAUGCUGAAAAGGCAAGGUCACAAAGAACAGAGAAGACAAAGUCAAGAACGUUAUCAUUGCCAAAGAAAGACUCUUCUUCCUUUGAAAGAUGGGAGGAGGGGAGAAAAUGAGUGAAUGUUCAGGGACAUUUUGAUCUAGAAGGACAAGGAAACAAAAUAGUUUACUGUGAAUUGGCUUUGAUCAUCCUGGUGCUCUAUGAGGAAAGUUCAUCUUCUAAAAAGGAAGGCAGUGGGUGGUUUUACUACUCUGGAGGGCAGAAUUAGGACCACUGUGAACAGGUCAGAGAGAGAUUUAUUUAGGGUCAAUAUAAGAAAAAACUUAUUUAAAACCAGCACUAGUGGAAAGUGGAGCUGGCCUUCUUAUCAAGGUGUAAGUUGCGAAAACAGAGUGUUUUGGUUGGGGAUAGAUGAACAACUGUUGCAAUGCUGUCAGGAGGGACUGCAAACCCAUGGUUUCCAAGACGCCUCAUGUAUAUCAUUCAUUCUCAAUGCUAUAUUUUGUUGGUUUUUUCAUGUCAACAAUUCAGGUGUCACUGCUACCGAAUACAAGAAAAAGAAGCCCAUGAGGACUGGAAGAGGAAACAUAAAGAAAAGAUGUGUUAUAUUGAUACAAUGUCUUUCUUUCCUAAGGAGAAAAAUCAUAUUUUCAUAG